This is a long non-coding RNA of Bos taurus (domestic cattle), 2105 nucleotides long. Lineage: Eukaryota; Metazoa; Chordata; Mammalia; Artiodactyla; Bovidae. The record is from Ensembl.
GUUCAGUGUUUCCACCAGGAAGCUGUGUCUGUCCAUUUAACACAUUUUCGGGUUUCUCAGAUAAGCCAUUGCUCUUAGACUAGAACAUUGUGAGGGGAAGCUAAUGGAGGAAAGAUGCUGAGGCUCUCAGGAGAAUCCACUUAGGGCAUCAGUUAAGUGUCUGCUGAGACAUCCUAUAGCGGAGCAGUUACUGAAUCAGAGCAGAGCUGAGCACCUGAGCUUCCAGACAAUGUCCUUGUCUCUUGGCUCUUGUCUUUAGCCUUAUCAACCACCCCCCACAAAAUGAGCCAGACAGCCAGACUUCUUUUCUGGGAAUGCUGAAUAAUGCAGUCCACCCUUUAUUUUUUCUGGAAUAAGUACUGCUGUGUGUGCCUUUCAUCCUGUGUUGUGAUGAAGAGGAAAACUGGACUUGAACAUCAGCUCCAUAACUUGAUAGCUGGAUACCUUAGGAAAGGAACUUCUCCUGACACUUACGUCCCUUACGUCUGUAAGCUGCCGACAAUGAUGACAGUACUCUUGGAGAGACUGAAUGGGAUGAUACAUGGAAAACCCUUAGUUCAGUGUCUGGCACACAGUAGGUAUUCAGAAACAGCAGCUAUCAGUGUCUCUACAUUUGGAAGGGAACAAAUUUUAAUUCCAGGCUUCCUGCAGCAGUGUCCUACAUGUUUUUCCUUAUCUAAUAAAGAAAAAAGAAGAAGCCUGCAUUUAAUAAACAAUAUCUCCCAGAUCAGCCCCGUGUGAUGGGUACUGAGCAGAUACGGGACAGAUUCUAGAAGAUGACUCACCAGAACCCCGCUCUCUCACACACUGUGAGCUCAGAAAAUGUCUAAUAUCCUGUUGCUACAUAUCAAUGUAGAUUCUUUGACAUUAUCACUUUUAAGCCAAAUGGAGAAAAAUAAGACUUCCUCUCAAGUUAGAAAAUGUUCCUUUAUUUUAAAACCCUUUUCCAGAGUCAGGCCCACCAGUGUGAAAUGAGGAAAAGAGCGGGGAGGUGAGUGAUGAGGCUAAGGAUUCCUGAGAAGUAUCAGACACGAGGAGAAGGAGCGGAGGUUCUCACCCGAAUUGGGUGCAGCUGGGACCCGGAUCCUCUGGGCUCAGGGACAAGGUUAGGGGAGCCAGUGUCCAACUGCGGGAGUUUCACAUGACAUGUGCUCAAUCAAGGGCCAACAUCCAUUUCUUCCCAUCUUUGGCAUGGCUCCUCUGGGUGCAGAAGGAUCAUUCAUGGAGAGGAGCUUUCACAGGGCCUUCCAACAGUUCACUGAGUGGCCAAUGAAGCUCUUGUGUCCUCGGUUCCCAAGAUAAAUGGAGCCAUUUGUACCCGUGGAGCAGGCAUCAUGUGGAAGCAAAACUGGGUGUGGGAAGCACCCUCUCGCCAUCUUUCAUGUCAACCUUCCCUUCAGUACUGACUAGGGAGUGGGUGCAUUGAGACAUUCCUCUUUUUCCUGUCUUCUCUGAGUCAGUUGGCCACAUCUCAAGCACUGAGCUAACUCUGCAUUUUCCUUUAAAAACAAGAGGCUACUUUAGGCAACCUAAUCCAGUAUUCUUGCCUGGGAAAUCCCAUGGACAGAGGAGGCUGGUGGGCCACAGUUCAAGGGGUUGCAAAGACACGACUGAGCAACUAAACAACAGCAACUUUAAAACUAGAUAUCACUUCAAAAUGACAUGUAGACACUCAACUAGUCUGACAUAUUCCUGACCCCACCAAAAAAUGCAAACAAAACAGAGAUAUUGAAGAACCAAGAGACAGAAAGAAUAAAAUGUCCUUAUCUCCAUCAUAAGCAGGACCAUUAUAACUGGAAAAUUAAUUUGAAGAAAUUGAGGUAACAAGGAGGCCCUGGGGGUCAGCAGAACAAAAUGAUGAACAUUUUGGAUCCUUGAAUGACUGCACAGACCAACUUCUCUCUGACCUAGAAUUUCCACCUCAGAUUACUACAUAGAAAAAAACAAGCAAAUAAAACUCCAUCUUCUUUAAGCCAACAAAUUAUUGUGAGCCAUCUUUGUUCAGUAGCCUUAGCCUUCCCCUCAAAAUCUAACGAUAUAUGAUGUCCAGACUCAGUUCACCAAUAUGGACUAAAAAUGUUUUAAAAAUUGUAUAUAUACACAUA